CUUUCAUAGGCUGCAGGUGCAGCCAUAAAAAGAAAAGAGAGAAAGAAACUCACAAAAUUGAACGAGAGUGAUUCAGGGUUAAGAAUCUGGAUGUAUCUAUAACAGCUUUUCUGAUUCAAGUCUAAAAGAAGACUGAAAAUUCUUGGCUGGAAGACUCAGCAGUUACUGAGAGAAAAGGCUUUGGUUUCUGGAGCAAGUUGUGGACAUGCAGGCAGAAGUCAACUUCUGCUUUCCUCAUCUUAGAGCCAGACUCUCACUCUAGGCUCUGUGCUUGGGAAAAGCUUUCUAUUGGCAGAUACUGCUUUGGGGAACAAGAGCAUAUCCUGUCCUGAGCUUCAGCAGGGUGGGUUUGUUCUAUGAUCUUCAAAUGUUGUAGGGAAUAAUAAUAGCUGAAAAAGAACUGUCAUGUUACAGUUGCAGAUCAUUUAUCUAUUUAUCUCUUGCAAGAGGCUCUGACCCAGGUGUAUGUUUGCUGCUGAAUAGUCUUUCUUCUGGAAAAACCACCUGGUAUGUGUACAAAUACAAGAGAACAUAAUGAGAAAGUAGAAAUGUUUGGAAAAUGGCAAAAUAAACUAUUGUAAGGAUUAAGUUACUCUUUAGGAUAAUGUAAAAUGUUGUCGUUAUAUUGCAGGCAGAAUUCUUCAUAUAUUUCUUUUGGAGAGGUAUUCUUCCCUAAAUGUAUAUUUUAAUUGCAAUGUACGUUCAUUGUGUGUGGACAUAUGGGCAUGUGGGUGUAGAUGUGUUUAUUUUUAUUUAUUAUUUGUUUAUGUAAUUUUAUGUUCAUUUAUAUUUGACUGGGAUUUUAGAGAUGUCAGUAAUUUAGGCCAAAAAUACUGCAGGGAUGAUGUAGGCAAGGAAGGACAAUGAAACGGAACUCAAUUAGUUUGAGGAUGCUCAAUCUUUACUGAAAAUACUGCAUAUGAUGGAGCAAUGUUAAAAUGGAGAGCACUGUCCUUUUGACUGGGAAAGUGUUUAAGGAAAUCAUCUUUGCUUCUAUGUGUGUGUCGCUGGAGCUGUGGUUGGAUGUAGUUGUGGUGACAUUGCCCCGAGGGGUCAUAGCUAGACCCACUAGUAUGGGUACCAAGUGGAUUUGUCCUGAAGAGGGUGGAUUUUCCUACUGUAAAUUCUCUAGAGUAGGAAAUGAGGAUGAAGAGGUAGCCCUCAGGGCUGGUUAAAGAAGAAACUCCUUCCUUUAUGAGUGUCCUCUUGAAUGGACUCAAGAUAUUCUUGUGGGCACUUCCAAUGCUGAUUGGAAAUUUGUUUUUGUUUUUAUUUUGUUUUGUUUUUGCCACAAGGAGGCUCCCUGCAAAAGCCCCAUGAGAAAGAUACAGGAAGCCUGGAUUUGUUAGGGGACUAUUGACUGAAACCACCUGCCUUGAUCAACACUGUAUGGCUUGCAUGAAUUGUCUCAGAGUAGGAGGCCCUGAUAAGGAACGUGGUGCUGCCCUGAAGACUAAUAUGGAGAAUCUAGGAGGGGCCAAUAGGAGGGAGGAGUUGACCAACCUCCCAGGAUCCUUGGUGCUAGAAUCCAUCCUGGCUGAGAGGUACUGGAGCCCCAAGAAAGACCUCCAGCCAGACCAAGUACAGGCAGAGAAAGAUGACUGGUCAGAGACAACUCAGAAACUAACCCCAUUCUCCUAAAACCUGAGACUGUGAGCCACGUGUCAGAGCAGUUCUCCUGCGUUGCCUAACCCUGCUGCUCUCCACCCCCGUUCCCCUUCCCAACAAAGGCUUUGGCUUUGUCAGCAUGUGUGUCUCCUUGUAUUAGGUAGGGUAAGAUAGGGAUUCUGGCCCGGGUGAUUCAAAACAGAUCAUUUAUUGUUACCUGAAACAGGAGGCCUGCAAUCAAACAAUGAAGAUACAUGCAGAUUCCAGAGGAAUGCUCUUCAGAGCAUCUCCCUAUAACAUUUCCCCAUGCAAGGCAUCCUCAAAACCAAUCGGAGGAUCCAAACGCGCCCCUUAGGCACACACAGGUGCAGGGGGGUUGGGACAGGAAAUUAGUGGGCCUGGGGAAAGAGAAUAGGGGUCCCCAAACAGGUCUGCCAUAUAUGAACAUAAGGAAGGAUCCAAUUGCAGCCAGCACCAGUCCCUCGCCCAUGCUCCCUGAGGGUGUAAAUAAAACUUUCUGUACACUGCGACCUGACUCUUGACUGUGACCUCCGAGGCAACGGGCAGGAGCGUUUUUUGGCACAGAGUGACAGAGCCAGAGCCCUACGGCUCGUUAGAAAAGUCCAGGUCAGAGCUCUUACACUAGGAUGUGGGUUCGAGGGGAAAUUCCCUUCGACCUAGAACCACCAGGUCCUGAGCUGAUUGCUUCUGCCUGAAGAGAUCGCGUGCCGCCUGCCUCCAGGCUUGCAAGGAAGCCCAUUAGCUCCGUCCCAGUUCUGCUACAGCACUUCUUGGCCUGCACCUCCAAAUCCUUGUUGUAGGCGGGCAAAGACCAAGGGAGAUACCACAGAGCAGACGAACUUGACAUUGGACAAUUCAUUUCCGAGUGUUAGACAAGAGCUCAUUCUCGGACCCAGGAAGGGAUUCCCCUUCCCGCAACAGAGUCACAUAAAAUAGCCAAAGGGUCCAGAUCAAGAAGCCAAAUGAAGAAAAUGAAAUUCUCACUUGCUUCGGUUUCCACAUGAAAAACCUUUAAUUUACCUCUAGAGGGCACUCUUCAUUCUCUGAUCUUUCUGAGGUCUUCAGCACAGCAGGGCUGUCCUUCAAAUGGAAGUAAAUGCAUUUACUAACAUUAGUGAUUUGUUUGUGAAUAAUCAGAAGCACCCUGAUUCUGGGCAGAUAUUUUCCCCCUUAAUGGUCCUGUUGAUUGUGAUGCAAAGUUCUUGACUGCCUCAGAUGUAAACUGGAAGAAUUCAGCAAAUCCCAAUUGCCAGUGCAACUAUACAUAAAAUGUGUUUCACCGUCACAAACUUUUUAUUUCCAUAAAAUAAACAGAGUAAAAAAUUAAGAAA
Molecule: non-coding RNA, 2960 nt
Organism: Sus scrofa (pig)
Lineage: Eukaryota; Metazoa; Chordata; Mammalia; Artiodactyla; Suidae
Source: RefSeq, a predicted model, not a curated record